This is a long non-coding RNA of Alosa alosa (allis shad), 390 nucleotides long. RefSeq lists it as uncharacterized. Lineage: Eukaryota; Metazoa; Chordata; Actinopteri; Clupeiformes; Clupeidae. The transcript has 3 exons. The record is from RefSeq and is a predicted model, not a curated record.
UACAGUAGCCUACAUAAGACAUUCCACAAGGUGCAUUCUAAGGCUUUGGCUGCACGCUUGUUAUUGUCACUACGGCAACGGCAUUAUUUAGAAUGCAUUUACUUUUAAAGGAACUAGGCUACAGUAAAGUCUUGGAUACGGUGCUACUUUGUAGCUUAGGAAUAGUAACUCUUACGGAGAACAAGGCUACUUGUAUAGCUCUCACGGUGCUACUUUGUAGCUUAAUGACACGACUCUUACGGAGAACAAGUCUACCGAGUUAUCCGACAGCCAAGUGGCAUCUGUGAAAUGGGAACGUCUGACUGUAGAACAAAUAAAUGAAAGACAGCAGGUGACUACAAUUGUAAAUGGUCAUCAGUCACUGUACACAGCAGAAGCAACUGCAAGAAC